GAUGAUAUGCCGAGUGUGGAGAGUGAAAGCUCACUACAUGCAAAAUUUGCAUGUAGUUUGCUUAUUAAAGGAAUGGAUUGCAAAUGAAAAUUUAGUUGUUGCUUUGGUUAAAAUUGAUUUUGCAAUUUGGAAUUGCAAAAUCAAACCAAAAUUUCUUUUCUCUCCACAAGUUUUGAAAGCCAAGUUUAUCCUCCUAAAUCCAUCUCUCUCUUUAUUUUCUCCAUCGUUCGAGUCCCACAACUUGGUUCCAAGUUCGGAGAAUAGCGGGUAAACUCUAGUGGUAGUCUUGGCUUCAAGAUCGUGAGGAGAUUCGAAGAGUUGUUGAGGAGAUUACAGAAAAGAGAAAAACAUCAAAUGUGAGUUUUUGUUUUAACUCUAUCUUUGCUUAUAUUAGGGUUAUUGUGCAUGUUGAUCACUAAAUUUUGUUUAGUUGCAAUUAGAGUAAAAUUCGAUCUUUAUUCCGCUGAGCAUGUUUACCGUUUUCAUCAAGGUCAUCAUGUCGCCUUGAAUUAUACUGAUCAUCAUAGCAGAAGAACCGUCUUAAAAUUAUUGUUGUACUUUGGUGGAGCUAAGCAUCGUAGUACGAAAAAACAUGCAAAACCGAAGCAUGUUGACAAAAUGGCUAAUUCGUAGAUCUCACUCUCUUUAAGAAGUUUCGUAGCUUUGUUCGGAUGUACAAACAGACGUGAAAUGCCUUAUCGUCCCUAGGAUAAAACAACCUUUAAUUUAAUUCGUCAGUAGGAAUUGCACUAGAACCAAUUGGUAUAUCAACACUCAAUAGAUACUUAGUUGCUCGAAAAAACUUCUUUUUUUAAAAAAAAACAAAAUGAGAUAGACUAAAAGAGCAGAGAAUGAGAGAGCUUGGAAUUUUGGUGGUGUGCCAUACUCACUGUCUUCCUUUUCAUACUCACUCUGUUUUUCGAUCCAGUUUUAUUUCAAUUUUCGAGCACAAUCAGAAAGUUAUUAGUCGAUUGACUUCUAGUGGAGACCAAAUCGAGACAUAUUAUCUAGAUUGUUUUAUCCUGAGACAUUGUGUUAAUUUCAAAUUGUUUGCACAUCGAGCAGAGUCUCAAAAUGUCUUAAAGAUAACAUGAUUCGUGACUCGGUCUCUUCUUGCAAGCUUUUGUUUUGUAGUUUUUUUGUUCGUUCUCAUUAUUAUGUACCAAUCUUGCAAUUUUAGUCCUUUCAUCGAUGUAUUGUUUAUUCAUUUGUAACUGCUCCAACAAAUAAAAAAACGUCAUAUAGAUAUAAUAGGAUAUAGAGAACACAAAGAAUUUUUCGAUUUAAAAAAAACUAGGAUAUGUAUCUAAAAAGUAUCUGGAAGCAUCGAUAUCUGAUAAGUGUCUAAUAUGGAUUAUUUGCCUCACACAAAGCAUAUAUGCUUCAUAUAUUAAAAUGAUCCAAAAUUAGAAACAGAUGGACCAAAAUAGUAUCAAUAUUUAAUAAAUAUCUAAUAUGUAUUUUUUUUUGCCACACACAAGGUUAUGUGCUUCAUAUAUUAAAAUGAAUAGAUGGUCCAAAAUAAUAUUAAUAUUUAUAAACUUGUAAUUUAAUUAAACAAAAAAUGAUUUUAUCAAAGAAAUGAGAAUUUCUCCAAAACUUGGUCAACAAAUGGAUAAAACAAUUGCAUUCAACGUAUAUGAUUAGUGGUUUAUAAAAUUUGGAAAAGUCACGCACAGUCAAGUACAUCAUUAUUAUUACAAAGAUGUGAUCAAAAUUUAGAUUAUUCAAUGUUUAAGUGGGAAGUCAAUUAAAUCCUCUUUAGGCAUCUAUGCCUACUUGAACUUAUCAUUAAUAUUUAUUUUCCUCAUUUACAUUAUAUUUACCAAACUAAAAUUUACAACUUCAUGCUUUUCAUUUACAAUUUACAUUAUAGUUUUCAAUAUUUUAGAAACAAAAAGUUUAAAUGAUUUUUUUAUUUAUUGUUAAUAUAUUUAAAAGUAAAUUUCUGGACCUUUUCUUUGGAAAACUCAUAAGACUGUUUCCAUCGUGUUGUUUUUCUUUUUUUAAAAAAAGAAAAAAUUCCCACACCAAAGACCAAUUUUAUUUAUUUAUAAUAAUGCCUUCUAGAACGUCAAAAUCAAUUACCCAAACGAAUCAAACGAAGCCACGUAAUACACCAAAGGAGCCGGCUUUCCGGCUCUUUACUAUUUCCCUCCCCGAAGCUACGACUUAUCGACCUUAUCAUUGACCCACAAGCUCUCUUCUUUUUCUUCUUUCUUGAAACAAUAAACUCUUUUUUAUUUAUUUAUUUUUAUUUUAUUUUUAAGCCACAAGACAAUUCUAUUUUCGUCUCUAUCUUUCUUUAAUUUUCUUAUGAUGGAUAAUAAAAAAUAUAUAUAUUCCACUUUGUUUCAAUCAAAUACUAAUAUUAUUCUAAUAAGUCUCCUUUAAGUAAGAAUCAUUUUUAUUCAACUUUUUAAUGAAAGUUAUGUAGAAUGCACAUGGAAAAUCAAAAUUAUUAGAAUUUUUCAUUUUUUUUUCUUCAAGCUAACAACACUAUUUGAAAACAUCUUAUUAUUUUGAUAAAGUUUUAAAAUUGAAAUGUGUGAAAUUAAAAUUUUUAAAGUUAGAAACUAAAUUGGAUUGUAAAACAUCAAAUAUAAUUGAAACCUUUAAUUAGGAUGAAAUUUAAAUAAAAUACAAAAAAUGGACCAAACCAAAAUUGGACCAUUUAGUUUAGUUUCACAUUGACCUGAUAAAAUUUCUAUGAUUCAGAGAGAUUUCUUUUUAUUAUUAUUUAUUACUUUAUUUAGUUAAUGAUGUAAUGAAAAAUAAUUUUAAUUGUUCUUUGACCUCAAGUUAGUUAGUGUAAGUUUGUAUGAUUUUAUAACCAUAGUUCUAGAAGUUUAUAAUAUAAUAAUAAUAAUGUGGUAACAAUCAAGUUGAGUAGAAAAUGUGCCUAUGGUUUAUUUUUAAAUGCUUUAAUUAUACUAACAAAAUUAUAUUAACUAUAAGAUAUUUAUUUAUUAAAUUUAAGACUAUUAUUAGAGAGAUUCUAAAAAGAAAUUUGAAACGUUUUUAACUGAAAAUUACUUGGGUUUGUAGAAUGUCCUAGAGAGUGUUGAGAUUUUAAAAGCACACUGAGUUCCAAACAUGGUUUUGUCAUUAGAUUUUAAAUGGAUAUUAUAUCUUGUUUAUUCAAUAAAAGUUUACUUUUUAAAUAUCAACAGACUAUUAUUUAUAAAAAACUUAAAAUUCAUAUAUAUAUAUAUUAAAUUUCGUUUCUUUUUUUUUUUUAAUGUUUGGUUUGAAACUAGUACUAUUUUACUCGUUUUUUUAUCACUAAGUGUUAUGUUGAAAUUCUUGCUUAUUUGUUGGGUUGAUGGAUGUGUUUAACCAUUGCCUUACUUGUUUUGGUUUUUAGAUAGAAGGUUGGAUGAGUGAAAAUGGAGUGAAGGGGUGGGCUCAGCUUAGAGUUGCAUGCUUUUUAGUUUGGUUUGAGUUUUUUUAUUUUUUGUGUUUGGCCUUCAACCUAGUACUUUUCUACACGUCUCUUGGCAUUAAGAGUUGUGUUGAAGUUUUUGCUUAACUUGUGUUUGUCUUUAUUUAACAUGCUUUGAAAAGUUGAAUGAGGUUCUUGUCUGUUUAAUUGGAAUAUUACGUUAGAUGUUCUGAAUGUUGUAACAAUGUGAUUUAUUUAAAGUAAUUGUAGUUAAACUGUUUUUCGAAGAUGACGUAUGGAGAUGGUUUUUGGAGGUGACAUCUUCUCUUAUGUAUUUAUCUAUUCAAAAGCACUUUAUAGACCAUUAUUAUGUAAACUUGUUUUAUUUAAUUUUUGUAACAAAAUAUACACUAUAAAAUGCCAACUUUGUGUUAGAAUUUCAUUAUUUAUAUGAAAUUGUUUGAUUUGAUUAAUACUGUCCUUAAUCUUAGGGUUAUUCAAAUGAGUAUUUAAAAUAAUAAUAAAUAAAUAAAUGAAAAAAAAGUUGAAGAAAUUUCUCCCAACAAAUGUUGUAACACGUUGUUGCCGUCGUCGGGAGUUCCUAUCUCCACGUCUCUUUCCAUCGAGAGAAUGGUUAAGACAAAGAUGUGGUCGCAACGGCGUAAGAAACUCGUCGAGCGUUUAAUUUGCCUCAUCUCCUGACGGGUGAUGCCAUCAAAAAAUUAAAUGGCCUUCGAAAAUUUAUGAUGAAAAGAAGUCCUAACGAGCAAAAAGACACGUGGGAAGUUGGCACAAAUUCUUGAUGGUCUCUAUAUCGGAAGACCGUCGGGAAAUGGUCUCCCCGACGGAUUUUCCCCGAUCAAGCUGCUAACAACGUGUUGUUCAUUGAGAGUUCAUUUUUUGGUGCAUUUUCGAAUAAUUCCUGCAAGUUUAUAUUUCGGGAGAUAUACUUUUUCUUGUAGUGACAAAUAUAACAAACUAUCACAAUUUAUUUGUGACAUAGUGAUAAUAUGUGUGCUUAUCUUGACACAAA
This 4418-nucleotide long non-coding RNA is filed under the name Cucumis sativus (cucumber). RNAcentral describes it as "long non-coding RNA (CSAT_LNC001482)". Lineage: Eukaryota; Viridiplantae; Streptophyta; Magnoliopsida; Cucurbitales; Cucurbitaceae. The record is from RNAcentral.